GACGAACGCUGGCGGCGUGCUUAACACAUGCAAGUCGAGCGGAAAGGCCCUUUCGGGGGUACUCGAGCGGCGAACGGGUGAGUAACACGUGAGUAAUCUGCCCUUGGCUUUGGGAUAACCACCGGAAACGGUGGCUAAUACCGGAUACGACCACUCCCGGCAUCGGGUGGUGGUGGAAAGGUUUUUCGGCCAGGGAUGGGCUCGCGGCCGAUCCGCUUGUUGGUGGGGGAAUGGCCUACCAAGGCUUCGACGGGUAGCCGGCCUGAGAGGGUGACCGGCCACACUGGGACUGAGACACGGCCCAGACUCCUACGGGAGGCAGCAGUGGGGAAUAUUGGACAAUGGGCGGAAGCCUGAUCCAGCAACGCCGCAUGAGGGAUGACGGCCUUCGGGUUGUAAACCUCUUUCAGUACCGACGAAGCGCCGAUGAUGGCGGUGACGGUAGGUACAGAAGAAGCACCGGCCAACUACGUGCCAGCCGCCGCCGUAA
RNAcentral lists this ribosomal RNA (490 nucleotides) under uncultured bacterium. Its description in RNAcentral is "partial 16S ribosomal RNA". It matches the Rfam family "Bacterial small subunit ribosomal RNA", at positions 28 to 523 of the family's 1533-position model. The record is from RNAcentral.